GGGUGCGUAGCUCAGUUGGUAGAGCAGCGGACUGAAAAUCCGCGUGUCGGUGGUUCGAAUCCGCCUCUGGGCACCA
Molecule: transfer RNA, 76 nt
Filed under: Mesorhizobium sp.
Lineage: Bacteria; Pseudomonadati; Pseudomonadota; Alphaproteobacteria; Hyphomicrobiales; Phyllobacteriaceae
Also listed under: 1 other name
Description: tRNA-Phe
Rfam family: tRNA (bases 8-65)
About the family: Transfer RNA (tRNA) molecules are approximately 80 nucleotides in length. Their secondary structure includes four short double-helical elements and three loops (D, anti-codon, and T loops). Further hydrogen bonds mediate the characteristic L-shaped molecular structure. tRNAs have two regions of fundamental functional importance: the anti-codon, which is responsible for specific mRNA codon recognition, and the 3' end, to which the tRNAs corresponding amino acid is attached (by aminoacyl-tRNA synthetases). tRNAs cope with the degeneracy of the genetic code in two manners: having more than one tRNA (with a specific anti-codon) for a particular amino acid; and 'wobble' base-pairing, i.e. permitting non-standard base-pairing at the 3rd anti-codon position.
Source: RNAcentral